UACGAAGGGGGCUAGCGUUGCUCGGAAUCACUGGGCGUAAAGCGCACGUAGGCGGGUCGUUAAGUCGGGGGUGAAAUCCUGGAGCUCAACUCCAGAACUGCCUUCGAUACUGGCGACCUUGAGUCCGGGAGAGGUGAGUGGAACUCCGAGUGUAGAGGUGAAAUUCGUAGAUAUUCGGAAGAACACCAGUGGCGAAGGCGGCUCACUGGCCCGGUACUGACGCUGAGGAGCGAAAGUGUGGGGAACGAACAGG
This 253-nucleotide ribosomal RNA is filed under the name uncultured bacterium. RNAcentral describes it as "partial 16S ribosomal RNA". It matches the Rfam family "Bacterial small subunit ribosomal RNA", at positions 524 to 776 of the family's 1533-position model. The record is from RNAcentral.